GAAACAUUAUUUUAUAAAAAGUAAAAACAUAGUAAUUUGUAAACACAAUUGUUAAUUGUUUACAAGCCAUAUAUGGUCAUGUUUAUUCACAAGUUCACUCAUGCAUGUCGGCAUGUGUUACAGAUAUGUUUGUAAAAAUGGUCAACCAUGCAUAAAUAACGACAUGGUACAUAUUGUUGUUUUAUUCAUAAACAUUAUAGGG
This 202-nucleotide long non-coding RNA is filed under the name Mytilus galloprovincialis (Mediterranean mussel). The record is from RNAcentral. Lineage: Eukaryota; Metazoa; Mollusca; Bivalvia; Mytilida; Mytilidae.